CGAACUGAACACCUAUAUCUACAGUCCAACCCACUACUCAGUCCAGCCCAAUAGCCCACUAAUUACAAGAGAGUGAGAGAGUUAGAGCUUCAGAUUAAAUCGUAAUUCCUUCGAUCUUCUUCUUCAAGACUUCAAUCACCUUGCUAUUGUUGUUUCUUCUUCAAUCACAUAGUUGCUGCUACUAAUCAACAUCAGUCUACUAAUCAUCUUCAAUUCACAUCAUCAUCAAUUCCUCUAUCUUCCAUCAACAUCAUCAUCGCGAUAAUUCCAGGUUAGAUCGAACUCCAUCUUCAUUCUCUCUUAUCUUGAUAAUUCCUGGAAUCUCUGUUCAUUCCUUCAUCAAUUUCAAUAACCAAAAGUCCGAAAAAAUGAAUCUGUAAUAUGAACACUUCGUCAAUUUCUUCAAUUUUUGUUCAUUCUCUCUCUCUCUCUAAAUAUCUUGAUAAUAUGAACACUUGUUUAUUCCUUCAUCAAAUAUGAAUCUACUGUAAUAUGAAUACAUGGUAUUUCUUUCAUCAAUAAUGAAUCUACUGUAAUAUGAAUCUAGGGAAAUUUCUCAAAAAACCACCACCUUUAGGUGUCUCUUCCCAUAUAGCCACCAAUGAGAGCUAAUCUUCCCAAAUAGCCACCUUACCCCACUUGCCUACUUUUUCUUUACAAUUAUACCCUUCUGUACAUCUGUUGCUCUUGUCUCCAUCAAAUCAACUUUUUGGUUGAAAAGAAAAGAUUCCUUUAUUGCAUUUAAGUUUUAGAUAAGGACAUUAAAUCAAACUUAGCCGUUGGAUUGGAAACAAUAGAUCCCUACCGUUGGAUUUUCUAAUUAAUGUACUGCACAUACAACCACCAUGUCAUCUUCAUCUCUUCUCUUCUUCUACUUUUUCGAUUUUUCUCUGAACCUUAACAUUGUUUGUUAUCCCUUUGUUCUCCCUUUGUUCUGCACCUUCUUCUACACUAUUCUUCUCCCCAACCUUAAACACACAAACAUUGUACUUCUUCACACCCAAAAUGCCACCAAAGAAAAAGGCAAAAUCGAAAGCUCUAAUUGCAAAUGAAGUCCAGAUGAACAGUAAAUUAGGUAAGUAAGCUUUAAAUGUUCUUAAAUUUGCAGAUUUCAAUGUUUGGACAAUAAAGUAGGUGUUGUUGUUUGGCUUUGAAUGCAGUAGGUGUCGUUGAUUUGUGUAAGCAUUUUAACAUACGUUUUGUUCUGUUUUAUGACAAAAAUGUGGUGAAGGUGUUGGCGAUUUAAAGAUGGUAUCUCAUGAAAAGAUAGAAUCUUUAUAAAGAUACCAUCUUUAUGAACCCUAACCUUCAUAAAGAUGGAAUCUUUGAUAAAGAUUGUGUUUUUAUGAAAUCCCAACCUCAUAAAAGUUGUAUCUUUAGCAAACUCACAUCCUCAUAAUUUAGAGACAAGCUAACAUAAAUGGUGCUGUGAUUUUGAUUGUUGUUCAUUAUCAGUUUACUGGUGUACAUCUGAGGUCAAUGUCACUCUGUUUUAAAAGUAAACUAUAACUUAUAUUCAAUUAGAGGCUAAAUAAAAGUAUACUAACCGACUUGUUAGUUACGUUUAGCCGAUAUAUUUUAAUACUUUGCAUGAAAUUGUGGUUUCAGGUAGCACUAUCAAUGUUGUGUUUCGCUAUGGUGGUCAGGUUGAGACUAAUGCAGAUGGAUUGUUAUCAUACAAGAAUGGUGACACAAAAAUAACAGUUUUGGAGUUGAAGGCACCAUAUGAAGAGUUUAUGGAGAUGGUUGAAGAUAUGACUCAUACACAAAGACACAAUUUUUUAAUUCAAGCUGUCGUCAAUGACAGUCCACGCAGCAUCCCUGCUCAAUAUGACUAUGAUCAAUUGAUAUUGGGGAUUGUUGCUGCCAAGAACUUAUACGUCAUGUCUGUUUGGAUAGUAGGAGAUUUGAAAUCAAUGAAUGGGGAAUCAAGCUCCAAAACACAGAAAAAUGUGAAAGGAAAGGAGAAAGUAAUUGAGGAAGAAAAAGGUAAAGGAAAAACUGGAUUGAAAAAAAACCUUUUCCCAGAACCUACCCCUCCAACAGAUUGGGGUAAUCAACCUGAUUAUUCAGAUUUUUCCACACCUGUAAAGCAAGGUUGUAUUUCUUCCCAAUAUCUCCUAGACCCUGCAUCAGCACAGAAGAGCCAUGUUAUCUUCUCAAAGGGGUAUGGGAAUGAACAACAACCUCUUGUAUUGGAUACCCCACCUAGGACUUAUCCCCAAGCUGUUAUAACAACUUCCCCUCUUGCUCCUUCUAGAGUUUCAUCUAGAAUUGAAUCUCCAUUGGUGGCUAAUGUUGUGCAAAUUGGAGCUGAUAAUAAAGUUGGGUACAGUUCUCAUGACAUAUCCUCUAAUGCCGGGGAUAUAUCCUCUAAUUCUCCCAAUCUAUCCGCUAAAGAGUGUGCUGCAGCGGCAAUUCUUUCUGAGAUGUGUAAUAAUGAUGGAUUUUGGAAAGGAUUCUCCGAGGAAAUUGAAGAAUAUAAUGCACUGCAACAAACACAACUAAAAGAUCAAGCUCAAUGGGCAGGUGAAGAACAACCACAAGAUGAAGGUAAAGAUUGUUCGAUAGCCGACGACGAUAGCGAUGCAACUUAUACAGAAUCUCUACUGGAUGUGCAUGAUUCACCAAUCAUUUGGACCACAGAGGAUGAAUUGGAAGAUCAGAUGUAUGAUGAUUCUGCGCCUAUGUUUGGUUCACAACAUUCAGAUAGCCAGGAAGAAGGCCCUACACCCCUGUCAAGGUUUUAUGGUGGAAAAGAAAACCCCUUAGAUGUAGCAGGUACGUCUACACGUUUAGCCAAUGUUAGAUGCAACUUAGAGGAUAGAUACAGACAUGCAUGUAGCGACAACAAUGCUUCCCAACAUGAGAGCAAUAUACCAAGUCAUGGACAACUUCCAGAACAUUUUCCAAGCCAUGACAAUGCUCAACAUGAGGAGGGUAAUUUCGCAAGUCAAACAAAUGAUCCACAACAACAAGACAAUGUUCAAAAUCAGACAAAUCCUCCACAGCAGCAAAACAAUCGGGAUGAAGAUAGUGUACGACGUCAAAGGCAUUACCCAUCUCAGAACAAUCGAGAUGAAGAUGAUGAAAUCAAACAAGAACUACAUAAUAUAUACGCAAAUCUUCGUCGGAUCAAUAGAGGUUGUGCUCCACACACUGAACCUUUACACAAUAAGUACUUGUUCCCUAAGAUUGGGCAGAUAUAUUUGUGUCGGGAUGAUUUUAUGAGAGACAUGAAAUCUUAUGCAAUCGAUGAGGAGUUUGACCUGAAUAAGUAUAAAACUGAGAUGAAAAGGGUGUAUUGGAAAUGUAAAGUUCCAACUUGCCCAUGGUAUGUUCGUGCUACACCAAAUUUGAAUGGUACUUGGCAAAUAAGAUGCAUUGCUGAGCGUCACACAUGUGGGAAGUUCAGACUUGGAUCAAAAAAUCGUCAAGCUGAUAGUGAUUGGGUUGCAUCUAAAAUUGCGAGAAAAUUACGGGAUAAUGAAGAUCUUACAUCCAAACAACUAAAAAGCCAAAUUGAGGAGGAAUAUCUUACCCAGAUUUCGUACAAAGUUGCUUGGAGAGCUAAAGAAAAGGCAUUGGCCAAGGUAUUGUUCUAUUUAAAAUUGCACCUUCCUAUCUUAUCCUCUAGUUCAUUCAUAUAUCUCGGCUACUUACUUUUAUCAUCUCCUCUAAUUAGUCAUUUUUAUCCUCCACUUGUAGUUAAGGGGAAGCUUCAGUGAGUCAUAUCAACAACUUGAAACAUACUGUAAUGAACUUAAGUUGGUCGAUCCAGAUUCUCAGACUGAUAUUAUCACAGGCCCUGGUGAUGAAUUCCAAUGUAUGUUCUGGUCAUAUGGUAUAACUGUGAGAGCUUACAGAAACACAUUAAGAUCGGUAAUCAUUAUAGAUGGAACAUUUCUGAAAGGGAGAUAUCCUGGAGUUGUACUAUCAGCAAUUGGAAUUGAAGGAAAUAAUCAUGUGUUCCCUAUUGCUUUUGCCCUUGUGCAAAAAGAAAACAAUGAGUAUUGGGAAUGGUUUCUUGAAAAACUUAGGGACCAUGUGGUUGGGACUGACCACGAGUUUGUGCUUCUUUCAGAUAGGCACAAAAGUAUUAUUCAAGCUGUACCAAAGAUUUUGCCCAAGGCUUGUCAUAUGUAUUGUGCCCAACACAUGUCCCUUAAAUAUGGGAAUGCAAAAGUAAGGUGGUUGCUUAAAGAGGCUGCCAAGACACUCAAUCAAAAUGAGUUCUGGGGUUUGAUGCUGCAAAUAUGGGCCAUAUCUCCAAAGGCAUACCACAGCCUAAUGGCAAUUGGACCACUAAAUAAGUGGGCUAGUGCGUUUCAGGAGAAACCCAGGUCGGUAUCUAUGCAUUUCCAUAUCCUCUACUAGUAGUCAUUCUACCGUCUAAGUAUAGUUAUCAUACCGGUUAAUUGUAUAUCUGUCUCCUCUUCUUAAGCAGAUAUGGAAUUAUUUACACUAAUCAUGUGGAGUCGUGGAAUAGAAUGAUUAUACCAGAAAGAAUGCUUCCUGCUACAAAUCUGGUCGAAGGAAUUCAUGCCAACAUCAUGAGGCAUCACAGAGAUUAUCGUGUUGAUGGUGAGAAAUUCAAGACACCUGUAACUAAGUGGUGCCACGAACAAAUUUUGCAUAAUGCUUGGAGAGGUAGAACCUUCACUCGUGAGAAGACAUCUCCAACUAUUUGGACAGUUUAUGGUGAGAGCAGGACAUGUGUGGUGGACUUGAAUGCAAGAGAAUGUACAUGCAAAUGGUGGCAAACUAUGGGAAUACCCUGUGAGCACGCAAUGUCUGUCAUUAGAGAAUGUCAAAUGGAUCCAUACACAUUUUGUGGUGUGUACUACAGAAGGGAGACAUAUAUGGAGACCUACAAAGAAAAUUGGAGACCCACAAGAGGAAAGGAUGAAUGGCCAAAGGAUAGAGUAGGCAGAAAGAUUCUUCCACCACUACCAUGUGUUAUGCCUGGACGUCCAAAGAAAAAGAGAAGGAGAGGCAAACUUGAAGGUAUCCCAGUACAGGAGAGAAGAUGCUCAAGGUGUAGGGGUAUAGGACACAACAAAUCAACAUGUAUUGAAGUUGUACCAGACUUUGACUAUUUUUUCCAACCUUUACCUGAUGGACCACCUGAUUCCUAUUAAGUGUUGGGUGUUUUUUUAUCUAAGUUAUGCCUUUGGAAGGUGUACCAGAUUUUGACCAUUUUGUUUUAUGUUUGCCUUUUAUAUGGCAAAUAUGUAUCCGCUAGUUGAAGGAUUAAUAUCCUCCAACGAGUGAAACGUUACCAUCUAAUGUAUACUAACUUGUUGUAUUAAUGAAAAUCAUUUGUACAUCCAACAUUACAAGAGUGAAGAAGCUCAAGGUGUACCACACUUUGAAUAUUUUUUGACCAACUGAUUCCUAUUAAGUGUUGGGAGUGUUUUGGAAGUUGUACCAGACUUUGACCAUUUUUUUCUAUGUUUGCCUGUAUAUGGCACAUUUUGUAGGUUGGGUUUUAUUUUGUAUGUUUCUUUGCUUAUCUUCCAGAUAUCACAUAUGUAUCCUCUAAUGGUGAUGAUUAGUAUCUCUAACUAGUAAUUAUGUAUCCUCUAACGUAUACUACAUAUUGGACGAACAGAACAUGUAAUAUAAUAAUACUUUCAUAAUUUUCAUAAGGGAAGGGAAAGGAAAAGGGUUUGUACAUCCAUACAAGACAAGAAAAAAAAAACUUCAACAACAUAAAAAAAAACAGAAAACACUUCAGCAAACAUAAAAGAAAACUUUCACUCAUCAUCAUCGUAAUCUUCUUCUUCUUCUUCGUCUUCUUCUUCUUCAUGUUCACCAGAAAAGCUGCUCUGCACCUCAUCUUCCUCUGCUAUGUCCUUAUCCUUUGCAGCAACACAUUCUUGGGAAGAAGGCACGUCGCUGUCAUCAGGGUACUCAACAAGAGGAUUGGGCUGGACAUAAUCUGAGGUAUUCAAGGAAUCAGACUCAUCAUCUUUCUUCUCUUCACUUGCUGAGGUAUUCAAGGAAUCAGACUCUUCUUCGUCAUCAUCAUCUUCUUCAUCAUCACUGAAACUUCCAAGGAAAGGGUCUGAUAUUUUGAGAAGCUUCAGAAAGCAUUCAUCUACAUCCUUGAGUAGAGAAACAGAAAUAGAAGCCAUAGUUUUGAAAAAAAAAGCUCUCAAGAAUGGUUUGUUUGAGUUGUAACCUCUACAUGGAUUUAUACUAGUAACAUUUAAUAAAGUGGGAAGAUCAAGACGCGGAUUCCAAGCAUUUGACUAAUUUUUUUCACCAUCCAACUAAUAUUCUUUAUGACCAUUUAAGAACAUCCCUCAAAAGUACCAAAAUACAUUGAGGGGAAAGUAAAUAUUGACGGGACAUUAAACUUAUCUAGUUUUACAAAAGCUUAGUCACCUUUACACUGUUCACACAUCUCUAGAGUGUAAUGCAUGAAAUACAAGGGUGUCCAUGCAUCUCUCCUAGUGCCAAAUAAGGUGGCACAAAGUCUUGAGUUAUAUCAAUGGAAUAUUUGUGUUCUGAAGGACCAAUACAGGGGAGUUGGGGAGAGAGAAUGGCACCAAUACAGGGUUUUGUCGAUGCUGUAAAAUGCCUUGAGGACCCUGCUGGUAGUAAGAAUAUCCCAAAUAUCUUUGGGCAGGAGGUGUGAGGUUUAUCUUUAAGGGUAAAUUUAGUAAGGGUCUACUAUACCGAACGCAAUGAUGAACUUUUUUCUAUUGUAUGUGAGACUAUAUACUAUCAGUCCAAACAUAGUCACGCAAGUCAAAUACUAAAUACGACAAUCAUCGUUCCUUGGUUUUAUUAACUGUCCUCACAUUGUUACACAAGAGCCAGUAAAUAACAAAAAUAUAUACGACUUGCUGAAAUAUUAUCUAGUUGUACAAAAGUUUAGUCACACUGUUCAUACACCCUUACUUGGUGGCUUCAAUCCACACUGAACAAGGUCCAUAGCAACACGUUUCCUCAUAAGAGCAGACCUUCUCUUGAAAGCAAGUUCCCUACCCCUGACUAUACAAUCAAUGUAACCAAGCAAAAAAACACCACAGCUGUGACCAUCAUCUUGUUCUGGGCAAUUGACAAACUCCCUUUCCCAUGCAAAUUCCAAGUCAAAAUCUGGAAUGUUAGGGUCAGCAGCAAAGACCACAUAAGGCAACAUUUUCUCCAAACCUAUCUGUUGUCUUGAUGGUCUCUUCAAGCCCAAAGAGUCAUAUAUUCUCACCUUCUUUUCCUUAAAGCUGAAACUCAAGAGCACCCAGUGGUUAUCAUUGACCUGCAUUAUUAACAAAUAUCAUAGGUUUUAGCAGAUAUUACCUUUGUUAUUAGAGGAUGUUCUUAAAGUACAUUAGAGGGUACAAAGUCAAUACUCUUACUUGUAAAGGAAUAAGUAUAACCUUUGCAUGGUAAGGGGAAACUUGGUUCUCCAUAUGACCAGUAGGGCUCAUAAUGUUUAUGGCACCUGUCUUAAUUUUGAAGGCACCACUCCUAACUCUGUUUGCUGGUGAUAGUGCAGCAAAAGUUGGAUCCCUCAUACGCCUAUUGUAUGUAUAUUGAACAUCACCAUAAAGCAUGCCCUGACACAACCAAACAAAUAUAUUUGUAUCACCAAAUUACUCAUAGUGUAAACUCUAAAUAACAAAACUGUAUCCUCUACUUAAAGGUUCAAGUAUAAGAACUUUAAAAAAAAAAAAAAAAUACUUACAGCAAAAUAUAUUGUUGGAACAAUAGCAUACUGAUUAUGUGGGUUGAUAUGCCUCCUCAUCAUUCCAUACCAACGAAUGAUCAAGCUAACAUAGGCUUCAAUGAUAUCUCCAUGCACCCAAUUAGUGUUCCAUAGGCUGUAAAACUGCUUCACAUGGACUUCCAAUCCAUAUCCAUAAACCCUCAUCACUUUAUGCUCAAAAUUUGGCUCCUUCGCCAACCACCAGUAAUAGUUCAAAACAUCUGUCUCAUUAUGAGUUGUAGUUCUGUCUAGAAAUGACAUGCCCAUGGUAAUCAUCAGCUGAGCAUCAACUUCUUUCCCCUCUUCCUUCCCCUGAUUCUUUUUUCUCAAUCUUUUCUGGCUGUUGUUAAAGUCAUCAAUAGCUUGCUUAUCCACUUCUUCAUCUUCUUCUAAAUCACCAGUGAAAACUAUAUCAUCUUCAUGGUGUUCAAGAUUACCCAUCUCACCAGCUGAUGCACCAUCUAUUUCCACUAAAUAUUCUUGAGGAAUAUUCUUAGGAGCUGGAAUGUCAUCAUAAAAGCUAUAAUCUUCUUCAUCUUGCUCAUCUUCCUUAGCAUCUACCUCUUGAAUUUUAGUAGGCAACUCUUUCAGAUCUUGCACAUCAGUAUUCUCAGACUUGAGGAUGGCCAACUCCUGCACAUGCUCCAUGGUAGUAUCAAGAAUAUCUGAUUGGGCCAAUAUUGCCAUUGCAUCAGCAACAAUAACUUCUUGUGCUGUAUUACCUUCCACUGCAACAUUUCCUUCACUUUCAUUUUGUCCUUCUCCUUCAAGCUUUUCUUCUCCUUUAACAUUUCCUUCAUUAUUAGCUUCUACUGCAAUCUUUCCUCCACUUUCAUUUUUUUCUUCUCCUUCUCCUUGGACUUUUUCUUCUCCUUCAACUUUUCCUUCAUUACUAAGUUUUCCUUCAACUUCUCCUUCAAUUUUUCCUUCUCCUUCAACUUUUUCUUCAACAUUCUUUCCUUCUCCUUCAACUGCUCCUUCAACUGCUCCAUCAUCCUUUUUUUCUAUCUCAGCCCCCCCUUGGGUGCUUUUUCCUUUCUUUUGAACCUGUAUGUCCUCAUCUUCAUCACUAUCUGGCCUUGGAAUAAAUCUUCUUUUUUUACUUUCUUCUUUGGCAUUUUUUCUCUCAGCAAUUCUUGCAUCUUUGGCUUUAAUAUUUUUCCUCCAUGACCUGUCAAGACCUGCUACUUUGCUUUGCCUGAGGAUAUAAGACAAAUAGUAGAUGGUAUAAAGUUAACAAGUAGCUGCUAAUAAUUAGGGAUUUAGAGGAUAUAACUGAAAUUCAUACCUAAGAGGUUGUUUUCUGGUAGGAGGUGGGAUGGUCUUCUGUUUCUUUGGUGGAGGUGGAGGUGGAGUCACUUGUUGCUUCUCAUGUUCGAUAAUUUGACUUGUGCUCCUUGUGACCCUCAUCCCACCUAAACAGAGUCGUAUAGUUUGAGACCUCUCUGGAGUUGUUGCAAUUGGUGAACUUAACUUCUCACUGGCAAUUUUCUUGCCUUUUCUAUCUGCACUAGGACUUGAAAUGGUCUUUGCAUUGGUUUUAGAUGGAGUAGGUUUUCUCUUGGUUGGAGUGGAAAUGCUUUGACUCCUUGUAUUAACACCAUUCUUGGAGACUGCUUUGGUGGUGGGGGUAGUUGUGUUGCCCUUCUUCAGAACUGACUUGGGUGCCAAAGUUGUUUUGGUCUUGGGUGUAGCAGUUGUUUUAGGGUUAGCCUUGGGGGCAGGUACAGUUGUUUUAGACUUGGCUACGCUGCUGCACUCUUCUUAGUUUCAUUUCUCUUACUGGGGGUACUUGGUUCCUUCCUCUUUUUGGUGGGGGUACUUGGUUCCUUCCUCUUUGUGGUGACCCCACUUGGUUCCUUUUUCUUUUUGGUGGAGGUACUUGGUUCUUUCCUCUUUCUAGUGGGGGUAGUGUUCUUCUUCUGUUUCCUUCCUUUAGGAAUGUUUCUAAUCUGGGUUGAAGAUGAAGACCCCCCUUUCAGUGCCUCGGGUUUCAAUAUCUUGCUUACACCAGAAACAACUCCUUCCUCAAUGUCUUUUACCACUCCCUUCAGAAUUCCUUCCAGUGAACCCACACCUAUAUCCUUUUCUUGCUUGUCAAGUUCUUGUUGCCACUACAACAACAUUAUAUACAUGCUAAUAUUAACAAAUAAUAUUUCAGAGUCUAGAGGAUAUAAUUGUAAUUUUAGCCGAUAAGAUAGACAUGAUUUGAGGAUGCAUAUAGAUUGUUAUAUGUAAUGUAGGAAUUUACUAUCUACAAGAUAGACUAGGCAUAAUGUAUGGGAUAUAAAACCUAAUUAGAGAGUAGUAUACAUACCUUUUCUGCUUCAACAACAAGUGCUUCACCAGAUUCUUGAAGAGUAAGGAAAGGGGGAGCAACUUCGAUUGCUUUUCCGCGAGGAGGGUUAAGCUUCUUAUCAAUGGUUUCUCUACAUGUUGUUUUUCCUGGAAGAUUCUUCCAACCAAGCAUCCUAGGGAAUGGUGGUACAUCAGCUUCCUUUCUAGGACCUAGACAUGGGAUGUGGCUGUAUGCCCAGACAAUAAAUGCAAGCACACACCCAGGUAGAUUGUAACUCAGUUUUUGGGCUGCUUCAUUUGUUGCUGCUGUUUCUAGAGCAUUUUCUAACAGAUUGAACACAACAGUUCCCCAAGGAAAUUCAUCAAAUUUCUGAAGAUUUGAUGCAAGGUCGACAUACCUAAGAUCAAUGGUCAUAUAUGUUACAAGACUAUUACAGUAUACAUAAACCAUGUUAACAUUAUAUAACAUAACAUAUUUACCCUAAACCUUGUGCAUAUACUAAAUGUAGAGGAGACAUGAUUAAAGUUUAGAGGAUAACAUGCUGAUUUCUAGCCGAUAACAGGACACAAAUAUGAAGCCUAAAUAUUACUAUUUAGCAUAUAAGAAUAAAAACCACAAUGUUGUCAGAUAACAUUGUGUGAAUUUUAGAAGAUAACAUGAACAUAUUUAGCAGAUAAUAUAACCACAUUUGAAGAUAAAUGUGUGAAUUUUAGACAUACCUGACAUCGAUGGUAUUAGAUGCAUCUGGUAGUAGGCAUGUUAACAGAAGCAACAAACGAUUCAAACGAUGCACAUCAUCACCAGAAUUAUGAUCAUUUCGUGCUACUUCAAUUGCAUCUUUCAUGUUCUUUUCCUUAAUGCUUUUCCUCUUGCCAAAAUAUUUCUCCCUAAAUGGACUUGGAACUUCUGAUUCCAUGAAAAUGAACUCAUGUGGUACACGACCAAUUUUCAAUCCUAAAUUUAAAGUCACAUCAAAUGGUUUGAACUGCAUUUCCUUUCCCCCAAUCUUGUACUUGAAUUUACCAUGUAACAACAGAUGUAAUCAUGUGCAAUUUAUCUGUUUGAACAUCUAAGAAAUACCUAAAGCAUGAAGAACUAAAAUUUUCCUUCUCCAACAGAGGUAAUUUACUCCCAAAAUGAUCACCUACCUUCUUCAUUGAGCAUCUUACCGUUACACUGAAAUUACGGCCAUAUUUCUUUCUCAUCUGUUCUACUCCACUUGAUUCUGGAAUUUCAUCAUGUUGCUCUUGAAUUUUGUCUACUUCUUCUUCCAUUUGUUGUUGUUCCUCUUCAAUUCGUUGUUCUCCUCCUUCAAUUUGUUGUUCUCCCACCUCAAUUUGCUGUUCUCCCACCUCAAUUUGCUGUUCUCCCACCUCAAAUUGCUGUUCUCCCACUUCGAUUUGUUGUUCUCCCACUUCGGUUUGUUGUUCUUCGCCUGCAAUUUGUUGUUCUUCUUCUACAUGUUUCUCUUCUUCUUCUUCUUCGUCUUUCUUUCCAAAUUCUGCUUCUUUCUCUUCAGUUUCUUCUACUUGCUCUUCAAUUUUUUCUUCAAUUGCUCCUUCUAACUUCUCAUUAACAGACAUUGAUACUGUUUCUAGGGUUUUGGAGGUGGUGGAUUCAACAACCAUUUUUUGUCAAAAUUAAGAGUUCUAGAACUACAAGGAAAUAAUUGAAAGGGUAUAAUUUCAACAAGAAAUGGUAACUGUGUUAAUGGAGGCGGUUGGAAGAAGAAAAUUGGUUUUUGGUAAGUUAGGGUUCUUGUUUGGAAGUGAUUAUCUUCUCAAAAUUUUCCCGCCAAAAUUACCCUCCAAACGGCUACAAACACGUGUCCUCUUUUCGUUGUAUGCACAAAUCCAUGUUUAAUCUCAACCGUACACGUCAUUUAGUUGGAAACAACUGUUAAGGGUAGUUUUGUAAAUACAUCUGAAUAAUAAACGGUUGUGAUUUAAUCUCUCAUUUCUAGCAAAAUCAAUGGUUGUAAUUUUUAUAUAGGUUAUUGUGAAGGGGUCACAUCAGCUUGUACUUGGUCAAAUCAAAGCAAAAAGUUUUGUCAUAAGUACAAAGGGUAGUUUAGGUAAGAAAAAUUCUGAAAAGUGUAAAGUGGUGGGGUAAGGUGGCUGUUUGGGAAGAUUACCUCUCAUGAGUGGCUAUUUGGGAAGAAGCACCUAAAUGUGGUGGUUUUUUGAGAAAUUUCCCAUGAAUCUACUAUAAAAAUGAUUAUGAAUCUACUGUAAUAUUUGGAUUGAUUAUGCAUCUAGUUGUUUUAUGUUAUGCAUCUACUGUAAUAAUUGAUUAUGAUUUUCUUUUUGCAGUAUUGUCUAAAUGGCUUCUACUCGUUCUACUAAAAAUAAAUAAAUACUUUUUCGUAACCCAAGUCUACUGUAGUCAUAGUACAAAAUAUCGUUAUCGACUAAUGUAUCGAUCUCCAAAAAAUAGAUAUAUCGGGAUAUAUUGGAAUCUAUCGGUGGAUAUUUUACAUGGAAUGUAUCGACUAAUAUAUCAAUUUGUUAUACAAAAUAUAUAUAAAAUCAAAUUUGAAAGUAUAUUUUCAUAGUAUUUACCUAAAAAACAUCAUAUCUACUAAAAAUAGAAUAAACAAAUUAUUUCCAAAAAAAAAAUUUUGAAAAAAAAUAAUAUUUCCAGAAAAUAUCGGAAAAUAUCAGUAAAUAUCGGAAAAUAUCGAAUAUAUCGGAAUAUAUCGAAAAAUAUCGGCCGAUAUUUUACAGAUACUUUAAGGCGAAAAUUUCGGGAAUAUAUCGUAUCGUUUUCUUUGAAAACCGAUAAAUAUCGCGAUAUAUCGUGAUAUAUCGCGAUAUUUUGUACUAUGACUGUAGUAAUAUCUGCGAGUGGCUCUGCUCUGGCCUCUGCGAGUGAGUCAUUCCCUCAAUCUGGUAAGAAAAGAUCAAUAGUUUGACUUCAUUUUACUGAGGUUAAAGAUCCUAAGCCGAAAAGGCUACAUGUAACUAUUGUGGGACACUGUAUGCUUGUGAAGGAAAGUCCAAUGACAUUAUUAAUAUGAAAGAUCAUAUCUUUAAACGUAAAUGUCACAAAUAUGUUUAUCCUAUACCUAAUUCUCAAACAACUCUAGAUUGCAAACUGAUACAGGUGUUUCCUAUUAGGAGCUUAGUGAUCUUCGAGAUUGGUGUCUUGAGGAUAGACAUUUGCCACCCUACGACUUGGUCGUCGCGAAGCAACGAUACUGCGGGGCCAGCGCGUAACGCCCUAGUUGGGGUUCGAGGCAGCGCCUCGAAAGGUCUUUGGGAUUCUGGAGAGUUCUAAAAAAGGAUUUCCUUAUUCCGGGUGAAUAGGAAAUAGGUUUCUUUGUAUGAUUCGAAGUCAUCCAAGGUUUAUAAAAAGGUGUUUUGGCCAAGGCCAAAACAUAAGAGAGUUAGUUAGGGCUUACCUUGUCUAGAGAGUAUUGUGAGGCAGAAAUUCUUGUAAUCUUCAUAAUAAUCAAUAAAGAAGAUAGUUUCUUCGAGAUCUUGUGUUUUGUUUAUCUUAUUUACUGCUAUUGUUUAAUUCUGCAUUCAAUAGUAUCUUUACCUAGUAAUUUGUAUCACAAACUAACCAAAGAUGGGAAACCACAAAUUAUAUCGGUUAGUUUCAGUUUAGAAGCUUGUAGAAAAGCCCUCACUAAGAUAAUCAUUGUGGAUGAGUUGCCCUUUAGAUUUGUGGAACGGGGGGGGGGUUAGAGAAUUCGUGAAAACUUUACAACCCAAAUUUAUCUUGCCUUUUCGUCAAACUGUUGCUAGGGAUUAUUUUAAGUUUCAUCUGGAUGAAAAGAAAACUUUAAAGAAUGCUUUGAAAGGGCAAAGGGUAUGUCUCACAACCGAUACAUGGACUUCAAUCCAAAAUUUGAACUACAUGGUUCUCACAACCUAUUUAAUUGAUAGUGAUUGGAAAUUGCAAAAAAGAAAAUUUAUGUCAAGUUCCAAACCACAAGGGUGAGACCAUUGGUAAUCUAGCAGAGAAGUGUUUGCAAGAUUGGGAUAUUGGUAGUAUUUUUACAAUUACCAUUGAUAAUGCAAUUCUAGUAAUGUUGUCAUUGAUUACUUGAAGAUAAACACAAGCCAUUGGGAAGGGACUAUUUUAGAACACAAGCAUUUGCACUUGAGAUGUUGUGCAUGAUAAGCACCCAAAACUGUUAUUUAUAGCCCCAAAUAACAUAUUGAUUGUUUUCACAAAUAAUGUAUUUUGCAUAUUUUAAGUGAUGUUUCAGGAAUUGAUGGUCAAAUUAUGGAAUUCACUUAAAUGUGUGCAAUAUAUCAAAACAUAAUAGGAAAAUGGAAGAAAAUACAAGGCUGCAAGGCAAUGUGAACAAGUUUAAUUAUUGCUGACGCCAUCAGUGGCUACUCGCCAGUCAAUUGCACCUGAGAAGUGACCAGUCGCCACCUUGGUAGAGAUUCGAGAGAUGAACUUUUCUGUACAAGCAGUCAGAUGCAUUCAGAAGAAGAAAGUCAAAACCUAAUUCGCAUUAUCAAUGGAGAAAAUCAAGCUCUGAAGGAAUUCAAUUUUUGAAUUGUAUUUUCCCUCCUAUGUUUUAGAUAAAUGAGAGAAUUGUUCUCUCAUUAGAUAAUUUUUGAUUAAUUUGAAAGUUCGAGAAAUUCUCUGCAACUUGUUCUUCUUCUCUUUCAAAAAUAAUAACACCCAUUUUCAUUCAUUGUUUGUGUAUGAUGAUUUAUUGUUUUUAUUCUAUGGUGAUGUCUUCAUCAAGGAUGGAAGCUUAAAUCCCCUUUAAGGGAUCCGAUGAAGCUUCUGAGAUGAGACUCUAAGGGUUUUAGUAAUUUAUUUAAUUUAAUUUUUUUUUUUUUUUGGUUGGCAAGCGAGGUUGUGGGGACCCCUACCCCAUUUAAAUUACGUGUGGAAACUUAUAUCAACAAUCCGCUGUUGACGUGUUUCGAACCCACGACCUCUCCACUUUGUGAGAGGGGUGCUACCAUUGAGCCACAGGCUCAUUCGCGAAAAAGUGGUUUGGUA
RNAcentral lists this long non-coding RNA (14993 nucleotides) under Aquilegia coerulea. Its description in RNAcentral is "long non-coding RNA (ACOE_LNC001296)". Lineage: Eukaryota; Viridiplantae; Streptophyta; Magnoliopsida; Ranunculales; Ranunculaceae. The record is from RNAcentral.